Bubalus bubalis (water buffalo) is the source of this 930-nucleotide long non-coding RNA. RefSeq lists it as uncharacterized. The record is from RefSeq and is a predicted model, not a curated record. NCBI's taxonomy places the organism in Eukaryota, Metazoa, Chordata, Mammalia, Artiodactyla, Bovidae. The transcript has 3 exons.
UGGUAACCCACUCCACUAUUCUUGCCUGAGAAAUCCCAUGGACAGAGGAGCUUAGUGGGCUAAAGUCCAUGAGGUCGCAAAAGGUCAGACACAACUUAGCAACUAAACAACAGCAACAACUCCUUGUUAAGAGUCUUCAGUCUUUCCACCGGGUGUCAAUACAACUCAGGAAAACCAGCUGACUCUGCUGUGGUUUUAGGCAUUUUCCUCCCUGCCCCCUCAUUGUUUUUCAAAUACCCUGCCUCGUUGCACCUGCUACAACUUUCUUUUUCAACAGAACAUUUUCCCAGGUCACUACCAGUGAAACCAGGCAACUGAGCUGCAGUGUGUUGCCAGGAAUUAUCUAGGCUUACCAUCAGCUAGGAAAGUGUUCUCUCUACUUCUGGGUGUGUAGCUGGUGAACCGUUCUCCACGUCACCAUCUUGGUGCCCUUUUUCUCAGGCUAAUCCUGGUACCAUUUGUGAAAGUGAAGAUACUCCAAGUAGCAGACAGCAAAGCAGGAAUAAAUACGCAAGAAUUUCAUCAGGAGAAUGCCUGUGAGACAAAGGGUCUGGGGACACUAAGAGAGCUGGCAGACUACAAUGCAAGUUGAACCCAAGGAAAGGAUAGAAGGAAGAAAGGUGAGGUAGAAGAUCCUAGACCAUCCUACAGUCUAAAGAAGGUUCAGCAAAGCUGUUGGAGACAUGCUUAAAACACAAGGACAGAGGAAGACUGGAAAAUGAAAACUUUAUCAGCGAGGCCCUUUCGAAUCUGGAGGUGGAGUGACGUAUCAACUGGAGACGAAAAAAGACACACACACACACACGUCUUUGAAGUCUGAAAGGCACGUGAAGUGGACCAUAGGGUGUAUGGCACAUUUUUUUUUUUCCAAGUAAAUAUCCUAGUUUUAAAGAGCCCAGCUUACAAUCUUUUGCAAUCAUUGUUACAUAU